This is a long non-coding RNA of Acinonyx jubatus (cheetah), 798 nucleotides long. RefSeq lists it as uncharacterized. The transcript is spliced from 4 exons. Lineage: Eukaryota; Metazoa; Chordata; Mammalia; Carnivora; Felidae. The record is from RefSeq and is a predicted model, not a curated record.
UUUACAUUUCUUUCCGUUAGGAAUCAUGUGCAUAGCUGACGUGUUCGUGUGGCUCCCAAACCCCAGGCAACGUGAGAAGCCUCGCGCCCUACCCUGGGCCUAUGGACCCUCCGCCCCGGUCCUGCUGGGGCAGCACUCGGGGCAGAUUCCGGUGUUUCUUUCCAGAGUUUCUUGAUGUAAAUACCAGCAACUAUGGCAUCUCUUAGAGACCAUCCCCAGGACUCCACAAAGAGAUUCCUGUCUGUCUGUCUGCCGGCUCAUCUCUCCACCACACUCGGCUACGGAACAUUCUGCAGGAUGGACGGAUGGCCUCCACAAAUAGCAGGGUGACACGGACACUUGCAGCUGCCAUUUGUCACACAGUAGUGGACAACUCAUCUCCCCGCCUGCGAGUCUUGAAUUCCUCCCAAGAUCCCAGGCUUUGAUCGGAGCCCUGCGCCCACGCAGGGGUGUGCCCUUCCCCAGGGGCGGGCAGGCUGAGGCCCGCUGACUCCACCCGGAGCUCCCGCUAUGCCUUCCCGCUACGCCUACGUGAAUCACCACGAGCUGAUUCACGGCUUCGCCUUGCGGAGUUCAGCGGGAAAGUCAACACCUGUACACGCCCACCCCCCUCCAUCUUCCAUGACUGGUGACACGCCCCCCCGGGGUCCUGAGCCGGCAGCGAGGCCCCGCCCCUCGCCCUGUGGCCCAGACGUCAGUGGAUUCAGCUUCUCGGAGAAAGACGGGAGACACCUGAAGAGACACAGGAGAGAUGCAUCUGUCCUUUUGUCCCCUCGUCCUGGCUGUCAGGGGCAGCGC